Molecule: long non-coding RNA, 1078 nt
Filed under: Mus pahari (shrew mouse)
Lineage: Eukaryota; Metazoa; Chordata; Mammalia; Rodentia; Muridae
Description: predicted gene 29520 (MGP_PahariEiJ_G0005251.1)
Source: RNAcentral
UAAAUGUUUGCGCUCUGUGAGGUUCUGUAUCUUUAUUCUCCAAAUUCACCUCCCAUAGCAGACCUGCUCAGGCAGAGACCAACUUAAACAUUUCUUGAAACAGAUCGGGUGUCAGUGACAGGGAAAUACCAUGAUGUACAGAAUAUUUGAGCAAAAGUCCCCUGUAGGAUUCCAUUUUCUCUGCCGGAAAGCGGAGGCAAUGGGAACAUGCAGGGGAUGGGAGGGGGGCGGGGGGGCGGGGGGCGGGUAGGACAUAAAAAUGGAGACACCAACAAAGGACUGUGGGCUAAUUGGCCCACUGUCAUACAGAUCCCGUGAGGUUUUAUUGUAACUGAUAUUUUUUUAAAAUGUUGUUCCCAAAUCUAUCAUAAUCUCCUGGUGAGAAGCCUAGGCACAUGCCUUUGUAGAGUCUGUGGGUGAUUUUAGGAGAAGAUUAGGGAUUUAAGUCGAUGCAGCUGCUUUUCUUCUUAUUUAUUUAUUUGCAUCUCAGAUGCUGCUCCACCUCCCGGUCACUUCUCCACCCCAGAGUCCCUUAUCCCACUAUCCCUCCUUCCCUUUUCCUCUGAGAGGGUGCUUCCCCCCAGUAUUCCCCCACCCUGUGGCAUCAAUUCUCUUCAGGGUUAGGCACAUCCUUGUCUAAAGCAAGACAAGGCAACCCUAUUGGGGAACGGAUUUCACAGUCAGGCGACAGCUUUAAGGACAGCCUCUGCUCCAGUUGUUGGGGAUCCAUAUGGAGACUGAGCUGCACAUCUGCUACAUAUGUGGGAGUGGGGAAGGGGACCUCAGUCCAGACUGUGACUUUGGUUGGUGACUCAGUCUUUAAGAACUCCCAGGGGUUCAGGUUAGUUGACUCUGCUGGUCUUCCUGUGGAGUUCCUACCUUGUUUAGGGCCUUCAGUCCGUCCCCCAACUCUUCCAUAAGAUUCCCCGACUUUCAUCCAAUGUUUGACUGAGGGUCUCUGAAUCUAUUUCAGUCGGUUGCUGCAUAGAGCAACCUCUCAGAGGACAGUUAUGGUAGGUUCCUUGAGAGUCAACAGGAGAGCUGAUUUGGGCAGUUCAGACGUUCUGGUAGUGUCUAG